This 503-nucleotide ribosomal RNA is filed under the name uncultured bacterium. RNAcentral describes it as "partial 16S ribosomal RNA". It matches the Rfam family "Bacterial small subunit ribosomal RNA", at positions 30 to 523 of the family's 1533-position model. The record is from RNAcentral.
AUUGAACGCUGGCGGCAGGCUUAACACAUGCAAGUCGAGCGGGGUGAUGGUGCUUGCACUAUCACUUAGCGGCGGACGGGUGAGUAAUGCUUAGGAAUCUGCCUAUUAGUGGGGGACAACAUCUCGAAAGGGAUGCUAAUACCGCAUACGUCCUACGGGAGAAAGCAGGGGAUCACUUGUGACCUUGCGCUAAUAGAUGAGCCUAAGUCGGAUUAGCUAGUUGGUGGGGUAAAGGCCUACCAAGGCGACGAUCUGUAGCGGGUCUGAGAGGAUGAUCCGCCACAAUAGGACUGAGACACGGCCCAGACUCCUACGGGAGGCAGCAGUGGGGAAUAUUGGACCAUGGGGGGAACCCUGAUCCAGCCAUGCCGCGUGUGUGAAGAAGGCCUUAUGGUUGUAAAGCACUUUAAGCGAGGAGGAGGCUCUUUUGGUUAAUACCCAAGAUGAGUGGACGUUACUCGCAGAAUAAGCACCGGCUAACUCUGUGCCAGCCGCCGCGGUAA